Bufo bufo (common toad) is the source of this 1865-nucleotide long non-coding RNA. RefSeq lists it as uncharacterized. The transcript has 3 exons. Lineage: Eukaryota; Metazoa; Chordata; Amphibia; Anura; Bufonidae. The record is from RefSeq and is a predicted model, not a curated record.
UUUCUGCAGUAUAGUAUUGGAGAGCACAGUGGGCACAGUAUUGGGCGUGGCAGGAUGGGGUGUUGAGAAGGUGGGAGGAUGAUGGAAAAGUAGGAAAACAAGAUGUCUUUUUGUCAAACUCUACAGACUCGGCUGAAAGAAAUCAUCAUGGUGGUCUGGUCUGAAUGGAUAAGAUGAGGAAAGAGAACAUCUACAUCAGAGGAGACCCCACUGGAUAUAAGAGCCCAAAGCAGUUAUUAAGGCUGAAUGAAUGCAAGAAUGAAGGCGCGAUGCAAGUGACCUCGGAGAGCUGACAAUAACGUUUUCUUAGCAUCAUUGAGAAACAAGAUAAGGGGACAGUAUUAUAGAAGAGUGAAGGAAGGAAAAGUAAAAUUAUUCUUUACGAUUAGCAAAUUUAAUGAACAAUGCAAUGAAGAAAAUGUGAUGAACUAAUUACACCCUGUCCCUUUAAAAUUGUGAAAAAAUAAAUAGAUAAAAGAUAUAAUGGUGAUUGACCUAUAUUGAUGUCAAGAUCAACUGUGAAUUACAUUGCAUUGUGAAAUGGAUCAGGGCAACAUAGACAUGGAGGACAUCCCUUUUUAUGGCUGCGUAGUUACAAAAUAUGGUUAGUUACACAGAUUUAGGUGCAUUAAGUUCAAACAUGAAAAGGCAGUAAUAUUUUAUCUCCAAUAAAUCUCCUGUUCACAAACAUUAGGGGUCAUGGUGUCAUCUGCCUUUGACAUUAGAUUAUGCCCUAUUGUUGACAUUUUGAAAAUGGCACCAGGUCACUUCUCACCAACUUGAUAAAAACCUUAUUAUGGUCAUGGUUCUUGCCAUUGAAAAAGCUAUCCCCAAAAUGUCACCAUGCCUCCAUAAAAAUCCCCUCUAUUGUUGGUGGACCAUACCCAUCUAACUGCAGGAGAGAGAGCCGGGUAAGAGAAAGCUGUGCCCAUUCCCUUCACUCAUUUUUGGUGCCCCAUUGGCCACAGACAUGGUAUAUUUGACAAUAUUCUGUAACAUCAAAACCCAGUUUCACACAAUAAACCUUGUAAGAGCAAGAUUUAAGGAAAUUCGAUAUUUUCUUAUUCACCAAAUGACAAAAUUACUUAUGGAGGUCAACCAAUUGGAAUUGUAUUUCACCAUAUUGGAUGACACCUGACUCAAAAAGUCAAUUAAACUGGCGGGUUCUUUCAUAGUCUGGAAGGGGAUGGUUGGUUUCAUUGGCCAGACGACUCGACACAAUCGCACCGUUUGUGUUCUGCUUUAUGCUAAUUAGACUAUAAAGUUGCCUUUAAAGGGGUUCUCUCAUUUCAAACAUUUGUGGUAUAUCACUUGUAUAUGCCACAAAUGUCAGAUAGGUGGGGGUUCCACCUCUGCCUGCAGAAUGGGGCCCCCAAAGUGAAGGAAGAGCGCACCACACAAGCAUGGCUAUCCUCCAUUCACCGCUAUGGGAGUUCCGACAAUAGCUGAGCACUGGCCUGAUUAUGGAGAUAGGAGCAGGUCCCAGAGGUGAUACCCGCACCUAUCUGACAUUUCCGGCAUAUCCUAGAGAUUUGCCACCCAUAUCUGAGAUGACAUAACCCCAUAAUAAACUGCACAGUGAUACAAAGUACAUAAAAGCUGUAAACAUAUGCACGUUUCUAUUUGUUUACCAUCAGUUUUGAAUUUGCUAUAUGUUAAUUGAUCAUAAGUAUUAAAUCUAAUUUUGCAUAUGAACGCGCACAGAAACGUCCAUUAUCUCCCAGAAUUAUUAAUGGAUUAUUUUUUUGUGAUGAAUAAUUAAUCUUUGGAAUAAUUUGUCUAUCUGUGAUCUUAAGAUUUAUUUGCAUAUCUAAUAUAUGAUUACUUUAGUUCCAUUCUCAUAGGAAAAAAACAUAAAGUCAAUA